GCGCAACAAUAAUGGAUGCAGAUACAGUAUCUGUCAAGAGAAAUCAUUUGCAUGAUUUGAAAGAAAUUCAAAAAACCUGGCAAAAUGUCGAAAAUAAUAUAAAAACUAUAGGUUUUGGAGAUGGGUUAUCCUUUGGAAGAAACAGCACUUUCCAGGAAUAUUUCGACCAGGGUUUUAUUGAGGGUUUCCGGGCGGCGUAUUCAGUUGGAGAAUUUAACGGAUCUUUAUUUUGUGAGUUAACACAGAACAAAAAGGAACAUCUGGAGAAGCAUCCAGUGAACGCAAAAACAGCGUGGUGUCAACUUUGUGAAAAUAAGGAACUUUUCAAUAGAAGCAUUGCUGAAGUUGUUGCUCAACAAACGGAAAUAAAUGAUAGAAACUUAAAACAAUUACAGGAUGGAAUCUGAAAAAACUGCUAUUUAUUGAUUUAUUAGUUGAAUUAAAAGUACACAAAAAGUU
Long non-coding RNA from Zophobas morio, 459 nucleotides. RefSeq lists it as uncharacterized. The record is from RefSeq and is a predicted model, not a curated record. The transcript has 3 exons. Lineage: Eukaryota; Metazoa; Arthropoda; Insecta; Coleoptera; Tenebrionidae.